GCCCGAGGCGCAAGCCUGGGGCAACCGGCGAACGGGUGCGUAACACGUGAGCAACCUACCCAGGUGUGGGGGAUAGCCGUCCCAACGGACGGGUAAUACCGCAUACGCUCUUCUUUAGGCAUUUAGAGAAGAGGAAACCUUCGGGGCACCAUGAGGGGCUCGCGGCCUAUCAGCUAGUUGGUGAGGUAACGGCUCACCAAGGCUACGACGGGUAGCUGGUCUGAGAGGAUGGCCAGCCACAUUGGGACUGAGAAACGGCCCAGACUCCUACGGGAGGCAGCAGUGGGGAAUCUUGCGCAAUGGCCUAACGGCUGACGCAGCGACGCCGCGUGAGGGAUGACGCUCUUCGGAGUGUAAACCUCUUUUGCCCGGAACGAAUUGCCACCAUCAGGUGGCUUGACGGUACCGGUUGAAUAAGCACCGGCUAACUCCGUGCCAGCAGCCGCGGUAAUACGGGGGGUGCGAGCGUUGUCCGGAAUCACUGGGCGUAAAGGGCGCGUAGGUGGCGUGAUAAGGGUGUGGUGAAAGCCCGGGGCUCAACCCCGGGUCUGCCAUGCCGACUGUCAGGCUCGAGUACUGUAGGGGCAGGCGGAAUUCCGGGUGUAGCGGUGGAAUGCGUAGAGAUCCGGAGGAAGACCGGUGGCGAAGGCGGCCUGCUGGGCAGUUACUGACACUGAUGCGCGACAGCGUGGGGAGCAAACAGGAUUAGAUACCCUGGUAGUCCACGCCGUAAACGAUGGGUACUAGGUGCCUGGGGGAGCGACCCCUUGGGUGCCGGCGCUAACGCAGGAAGUACCCCGCCUGGGGAGUACGGCCGCAAGGCUGAAACUCAAAGGAAUUGACGGGGGC
RNAcentral lists this ribosomal RNA (849 nucleotides) under uncultured bacterium. RNAcentral describes it as "bacterial SSU rRNA". It matches the Rfam family "Bacterial small subunit ribosomal RNA", at positions 69 to 920 of the family's 1533-position model. The record is from RNAcentral.